Molecule: long non-coding RNA, 1584 nt
Organism: Gallus gallus (chicken)
Lineage: Eukaryota; Metazoa; Chordata; Aves; Galliformes; Phasianidae
Source: Ensembl
GGCUCCCUGGGCCGCCCUGCCUGCCCUUGCCACCCCUGGCUGGCAGUGCCCGUGCUGCUGGGGCCGGUGGUGGCUGCAGCCCCUCUGGCCGUGCUGCAGCCCCUGGCUUCCUUGGCGGCAGCCCCUCCUCUGGCCGUGCUGCAGCCCCCGGCUUCCAUCUCAGCCCCCAGUAGCCCCCAGCAGCCUCACCUACCAGCAGGGAGAUCACGGGCUGGCAGCCCAGAGCGGGCAGUGUGAGGGACGGGAGGAGAGCAGCCCCGGGAGGGAUCAGGGGCCGGUAGAUGUAGAUGAUGAAGAAGAGGAUAUAGAGAUAGUUGUUGUAUAGAUAGUUAGAGGGUAUGAUGAUAGUUGAUAGCGAUGUAGAUUAGUUGAUAGCGACGUAGAUUAGUUGAUAGUGACGUAGAUAGUGAGAUAGACAGCUGAUGGUGGUAUACAGGUAGUAAACAGAUAGCAGAGAGCAAGAUGGGUUAUUGGUAGAGAGGUGGUUUGUGAAUAGCAAGGUAGUUAGCAGCAAGCAAGAGUUAGUAGCAAUGUAGUUAGAUCAUAGCCAGAUAGCUGAUAGGGGGAUGCAGGAUAGAAAGAUGGGUGACUGGGAGAUAGUUAAUUUAUAGCCUGUGAUAUAAGAAGUUGCUAAAAAGAACUUAAUCUCUGUUUCAGAUGAGCCAUUGCGUCCUGGGACACCUCUCUCCCCGCCAGCAUGGGGUGAAGAGCAACACCUGAUGCUGCCCCAGCGCUGGCAGAAGAACAGCAGCUCUGCAGAGACCCGUCCUGCCAGCAGAGCAUCACGGAGAAGAAGACGCGCCUUCUGCUCACAGGAAGAUGAGCCACGGAGACCUGGGACACCACUCUCCCCUCCAGCAUGUGAUGAGGACCAACGCCUGAUGCUGCUUCAGCGCCGGCAGAAGAACAGCAGCUCUGGGAACACCCGUCCUGCCAGCAGAGCAUCACAGGGAAGAGGACGCACCUUCUGCUCAGAGCUAGGGCACAUCUCGGGUGGAAACACCGGCGGGGCUCUGACAGUCUCUGAAUGCUUUGCCCUGAAUUGGAGGUUGAAACCAAAUCACAGAUGUUUUUCUAUACAGUUACUCUUCUCCUGUAAGCCGAGCUUUGACAGAGUUGAUGUCCAAAACAGCCGAGGAAGAACUGGACUGAAGAGGAGAGCGCCAGCUGACAGCGCCCGUCUGGUGUGAUGUGCCCAGAGAGAGACUCGUCCAGCAAGAGAUAGAGUAGAUAGGGAGCAUAGGGACCCAGUUAGCUCUAAAAUGUCUUAGUAGUGCAGUUGUAAGAAAGCUCUGUAAAUAAAUUGUAUGCCAUUGUUUUCAUAUCCUUACACUGUGUCCAAAACUGUGUUUGUUCGUAGCCCGAUAUGCCUAGAAAUAAAUGACAGAACAAUAAAUCUUUUCCUCUGAUCUUCUGUGGCGGUGGUGGUUUUGUUUGUUUCGUGGUGGAAUCCUAAAAUGAUUUUAUAGUUCCUCUCACAGAGGAAGCAGCAGCAGCUGUUCUAACAUCGGGUUAGCAGUUUUUUAUACCAAGCAAGCUCUAGAUUCUUAGCCACAGGGAGCAGAAGGCAGGAUAACGCCUGCA